RNAcentral lists this ribosomal RNA (785 nucleotides) under uncultured Actinomycetes bacterium. RNAcentral's name for it is "bacterial SSU rRNA". It matches the Rfam family "Bacterial small subunit ribosomal RNA", at positions 28 to 797 of the family's 1533-position model. Lineage: Bacteria; Bacillati; Actinomycetota; Actinomycetes. The record is from RNAcentral.
GACGAACGCUGGCGGCGUGCCUUACCCAUGCAAGUCGGACGGUCUAUCUUGGGCAACCGAGGUGGAUAGUGGCAGACGGCUGAGUAACACGUGAGGACCUAUCCAGUUGAGGGGGAUAGCCGCUCGAAAGAGCGGGUAAUACCGCGUAAGCCUCUGGGGGGUAAGCUCUCAGGGGGAAAGCGGGGGGGAGACUCUCCGCGCGACUGGCGGGACUCGCGGCCCAUCAGGUAGUAGGUGUGGUGACUGCGCACCUAGCCGAUGACGGGUAGCUGGUCUGAGAGGAUGGCCAGCCAGACUGGGACUGAGAGACGGCCCAGACUCCUACGGGGGGCAGCAGGGGGGGAUCUUGGUCAAUGGGGGAAACCCUGAACCAGCGACGCCGCGUGAGGGAAGAAGGCCCUUGGGUCGUAAACCUCUUUUGCCAGGGAAGAAGGCGGGGCCUGUUACAGGGCCCUGCUUGACGGUACCUGGCGAAUAAGCCCCGGCUAACUACGUGCCAGCAGCCGCGGUAAUACGUAGGGGGCAAGCGUUGUCCGGAAUCAUUGGGCGUAAAGCGCGCGUAGGCGGCCCGGUAAGUCCGCUCUGAAAGUCCAGGGCUCAACCCUGGAACGCGGGUGGAUACUGCUGGGCUAGAGGCCGGAAGAGGCGAGUGGAAUUCCUGGUGUAGCGGUGGAAUGCGCAGAUAUCAGGAGGAACACCUAUAGCGAAGGCAGCUCGCUGGGACGGUACUGACGCUAAGGCGCGAAAGCGUGGGAGCGAACAGGAUUAGAUACCCUGGUAGUCCA